GAAAUGCGAUAAGUAAUGUGAAUUGCAGAAUUCAGUGAAUCAUCGAAUCUUUGAACGCACCUUGCGCUCCCUGGUAUUCCGGGGAGCAUGCCUGUUUGAGUGUCAUGGUAUCCUCAACCUUCAUAACUUUUUUGUUAUCGAAGGCUUGGACUUGGAGGUUGUGCUGGCUCCUAGUCGAGUCGGCUCCUCUUAAAUGUAUUAGCGUGAGUGUAACGGAUCGCUUCGGUGUGAUAAUUAUCUGCGCCGUGGUCGUGAAGUAACAUAAGCUUGCGCUUCUAACCGUCCUUCAGUUGGACAACUUACUUUGACAUCUGACCUCAAAUCAGGUAGGACUACCCGCUGAACUUAAGC
RNAcentral lists this unclassified non-coding RNA (351 nucleotides) under plant metagenome. Its description in RNAcentral is "partial contains 5.8S ribosomal RNA, internal transcribed spacer 2, and large subunit ribosomal RNA". The stretch from base 1 to 105 matches the Rfam family "5.8S ribosomal RNA", at positions 50 to 154 of the family's 154-position model. The record is from RNAcentral.